This 357-nucleotide ribosomal RNA is filed under the name Triticum aestivum (bread wheat). RNAcentral describes it as "partial small subunit ribosomal RNA". The record is from RNAcentral. Lineage: Eukaryota; Viridiplantae; Streptophyta; Magnoliopsida; Poales; Poaceae.
AAAAUACAAGGCUGGUCGGAAAAAUUAUUGGCGUGUGCAGGUCGAGAGACUCUUCUCAAAUCUGUCGUUCAAUCAAUUCCUACUUAUCCAAUGAGUACAUUCCUACUGACCAAAAAAGUUUGUAAGAGUCUUACUUCACCAAUGGCCAAAUAUUUUUGGAGUAGCUCUCUUGACAAGAAAUCAUUGCAUUGGGUGUCCUGAAAGGAGCUAGCUACACCCAAGUGCAAGGGCGGGAUGGGGUUCAGAGACCCGCAACUUUUCAAUCUUGCUAUGCUGGGCAAACACGGAUGGCGAUUCCUCACCAACCCGAGUUCCCUAUGUGCAAGUUCUGAAGGGUCGCUACUUCCCCGACACUGA